Long non-coding RNA from Achroia grisella, 1572 nucleotides. RefSeq lists it as uncharacterized. The transcript is spliced from 3 exons. Lineage: Eukaryota; Metazoa; Arthropoda; Insecta; Lepidoptera; Pyralidae. The record is from RefSeq and is a predicted model, not a curated record.
AGCUCUAGAAGCUUUAUCAGAUAUAUUACAGACAUGCUUAUUCCAAGAUAGAUUUUUUGUUAAUGUUACACCAAGAAACUUGGCUUCAGCUACUACAGGCAGUAUGCUACCAUUAUAAUUAAUAUUAGCAUGCAAAGUUCUUGAUCUACUGAAUAUAACAACUUUAGUUUUAUCUAAACUAAUAUCUAAUUGUAAAUAUUUAAAAUAAACAUUUAAUUUCUUUAGAGCUUUGUUUAUUUUAUUUUCUACUAUAUGAAUAUUUGAGCCUGAACAGUAAACUGCUAAAUCAUCAGCAAACUGUAAAUUGCUGACUUCAUUACCAAGAAUAAUAUUAAUUUUAUGAAUAUACAAAAUAAAUAACAGUGGACUCAAUAUUCCCCCUUGACAUACACCUAUAUAUGAAGAUUGUGGACCAUAUAAAUUAUUAUUGUACUUAACAUAGACUUGUCUAUUAUGUAGGAAAUUAAAAAUCCAGUUAAUCAACUUAUCUGGUAUUCCUAGUGUUUGCAGUUCAUUAGUUAGAAUAUGAUGAUUAACAUUGUUAAAAGCACCAACUAUAUCAAAGAAGACAGAAACCAGUAUAUUGUUACUAGAAAAAGCACGAUGAAUAUCUAGGUUUAAAUGAUUUAAGCUCUCUGUAGCUGAAAAACCUUUCCUGAAGCCAAACUGAUUUGAAGAUAACUGAUAGAGGAGUUUGCCGAUUGAUCGACUCACAGAAUUUUAACCAGCUGGCAUUUCUUUCGUUUUUGAGAUGUUACAUAAAAGGUGGGUGAUGGUUGGAAGAUGAUAGCUCCCUAAAGGAUUAUCAUGUACAGACCAAUUGCAUCGGAGUGACAGAGAGGCAGAAACAAUUGUAAGAUCCAGAGCACUUGGACUCCAUAUAUCAGAGCCUACAGUAGUGGGUUGACCAUUAUUAAUUAUACAAAGAUCAUUGUCUUCAAUAGUAUUAAGAAGAAUAGUGCCUCUAGAAUCGGUUCUAGAGCAACCCCAAGUGGUAUUGUGGGCGUUAAAGUCACCCGCUAUUAUCAUAGGUGACGGGAUAGAUUUAAAUAAGUUAUCUAAAUGUAAAUGUGUAAAGUUACGUGACGUUGCGGAUGUAGGGCUGUAAAAACUAACAAAAGAAAUUGUUUCAUUUUUCAAAUAUAAUUUUAAAGCGAUAUUUUGCAAAGAAUCAUCGUGAUAUGUAUUUAAUCUGUCAUAAUUCAAUUUGUUUUGUAUUAGAAUGGCUACACCAUUAUGAUUAUUACCAAUGUCUAAUCUUUCUAUAUUGUAACCUUUGAUAUUAAAGUUUUUGAAAGGCUUUAGCCAAGUUUCAGAAAGAAGGGCGAUAUGUAUAUUGUUGUUAUAUAAAAAAUAAGUAAAAGCAAGUCUAUUAUUUAUCAAGCUCUGGGCAUUCCACUCGAUAAUAUUUAAAAUAUUAUCCAUUAAAGAGAUACUAUUAAUUAGUGUUAGUACUGGAAAUCUUAAAAGUAUCUAAAAUUAUGUUUUUUAUGCCUUCUGAGUUUAAGGGAGAGUCAUCUGUUUUAUUAACAGAAAUAAUUUUAAUAACUGAUGCAAUGAUUAGUUUUAAAA